AGUGAGGCAGCAAAUGACAGACUAAUCCACUUUCUGAAGCUUGGAUUACCCCAGGAAAACAUCAGUAACAUUUUAGGUGUCACUCAUACAACUAUCAUUCGUUGGAUGAGAGAAUGUGUUUGGCCAGAGACAGAAUCCAAUAAUUAACCCUGAGAUGGAAUAUUCAGACUCAAUGGCAGUUGAACAAGAUGGUGGAGAUGCUGACCAUGUUCACUUUGCAGUCAACGUGCCUGUAAUUCACAGGCCACAACUCACAAAUGAGCAAAUUGACCCACUGCAAGUGUCUGAUUCAUUUGGAGUAGAUGUAUACCUCAAGACUCUCACAUAUGUACAGACUUUGAUUGAAUAAAGGGAUAUUUGAAGGUUUAUUUCUGCUGCUCUAAUUUUGACAGCAAGGUUGUAAAUGUGUAUAUAUAGUUGUAUCUUAAGUAAAACUUGUGGAAACAACCUUUUAAGACAUGUAAAAUAAUUAAAUUUAUUUUAAAAUGUUA
Carassius auratus (goldfish) is the source of this 491-nucleotide long non-coding RNA. RefSeq lists it as uncharacterized. The transcript has 2 exons. NCBI's taxonomy places the organism in Eukaryota, Metazoa, Chordata, Actinopteri, Cypriniformes, Cyprinidae. The record is from RefSeq and is a predicted model, not a curated record.